Molecule: unclassified non-coding RNA, 621 nt
Filed under: Hevea brasiliensis (rubber tree)
Lineage: Eukaryota; Viridiplantae; Streptophyta; Magnoliopsida; Malpighiales; Euphorbiaceae
Source: RNAcentral
AAAAGAGCAUAUCCAGCUGGCCCGUAACCUUCAAUAAUGCCAGAAAACUGGUUCAAGAAAGCAUUGAUCUGGUCCUUGUAUAUGUACCCAACAGUUCCAAAUCCACCAAUCACACCCACAAUCAAAAGACCAGCCAAAAUGGUACCUUUAAUAGCAUUAUCAUCAUCUCCUGACCCACUAUCCCUCUCACUCUCACUCUCUCCAUCAUCAUUUUUGGGGUUCAAGUUAACCAGUCUCCUGAAACUCUGAGGAGAUUUGUUUGGUGUUUUCAAAAGGGUCUGCUGUUUCUUGGUUUCCUUUAGGGAAGAACAUGGUUUCAAGAAAUGAAAUCUUUUAGGUUUAAAACUAUACAGAAACGAAUUAACAGCUGAUUUUGUAAGGGAAAAUUGAAUCUUGGGUCCUUGUUGAAAAGAUGGAAAAAGAGUGACACAUGAAGGUGUUCUGCUUAAAUCAAUGGUGGGCAUUUCAGAUGAAUAAAGGGGAACUGGAAAGCUACUUCCUUUUUUUCUUUUGAUUUCUCUCUUCUGUUCUAAGGUUGUGCUGAGUUAAUUCAGAGUGUUUUGAGGACUGUUAUCAAUGGUGAAAUUUGUGUUGGGUGUUCCAUCAAAGAACGGAACUUUG